CCUUUGGAGUGCUGCACAAACGCUAGUAGCUUGCCCCUUUGGGACAGCGAGAGCGAGCAUGAUGAACAAGGUA
This 73-nucleotide non-coding RNA is filed under the name unclassified sequences. The record is from Rfam.